CACAAAUGAGAACACGUCUGAAGCAGAUUACUUCCUGGUGUGCAGGGAGGACAUAGUCCAGGGUUCAUGUGUAAACUCGAUGGCUGAGUUUCUCACACAUGGAUUAAUCAAAGUCCUCGAUCAUGAAACUUUGUUCUUCAGAGAUCAUCACAACGGCGAGGAGCGCAGAGGGAUGGACCUUCCCCAGUCUGAAUGAGAUUAAGACUGAACAAUAACUGAGCCUGAAGAAGAUUUUCACACACAUGCAGCUUGACCGUUAAGAAUGUGUAUUUGUGUGUCGUUUUGUUUGUGUCCCGUGUGCAUAUUUAUAUUGUGCCUUUAACCAUCAUCUGUCUGCUUGAUCUCAAAGGGAAAUAUCUUUUUAUGUUUGAUACACGUAUCUCUGCAUUGUUAUUAUCCAAAGUGUUAUUUUACUUUAUUUUUAUCUCAAUACUUUUUAAGUACUGUCGAGAUUUUCUUUUGUUACUGAGUUUGACUUUUUUGACUUGAUUGUUCUGUCUGCACUGCAACUGAAAGGUCUGGUAGAAAACUCCACAUGCACUGCGGCUCAGUGUUUAAAGAAAUUUAAAGUCCGGCGUUCAGAUGUUUUCCUCCUUUUGACGAGGAGAAUUUUUUUUUUUUUUUCUUUUGCUGUGAAACAUUUAGCAUCGCUUAGACAAUCACAAUCCCCGAUGUUUGGUGUUUUUGUUUUUUAUGGCAGGUCCGAAGGUGAAAGCAGCUGUAACAAAGCGUGCUCGUUCUGUCGUUCAGUUACUACCUUAGUGAAUCUAAGGGAGAACGAGCAGUCCUCAAACAGAAAACUGAGACCUUUGCAUCUGUUCAGCUUAUUGAAUGUUUAUUUCUUUACUUUGUCUGCAUGUCACGCCUGUUUUGAAGUAUAUUAUCGUGGCCGUACAUAAUGACCAUGAAAUGUUUAAGGGACUAUAAUCUUAGAUUUUCUUUUUUUUAUGCCAAAUAUUGCUGUUUAUUUUAUAUAUAUUUCAUCUCAUUUUCAGACAUGUGAGGCUGUUUGCGGUCACAUAGAGAGCCUGAAACUCAACACUAUCAUAAUAAUCAAUGCUAAUUAUUUAAUGACAGUAAUCACUAUUUCCUCCCAACAGCCCUGUAAGGUUUUCCUGUGUAAGACAAUAUAAUGUAAAUACAUUUUAA
Astatotilapia calliptera (eastern happy) is the source of this 1149-nucleotide long non-coding RNA. NCBI's taxonomy places the organism in Eukaryota, Metazoa, Chordata, Actinopteri, Cichliformes, Cichlidae. The record is from Ensembl.